AUGGCGAGCGUGGCGGCGUCGAAGAAGGCGGCGAACCGGCUGGUGGUGGAGGAGGCCACCACCAACGACGACAACUCCGUGUGCAUCCUCCACCCCGCCACCAUGGAGAAGCUCUCCAUAUUCAAAGGCGACAUCGUGCUGCUCAAGGGCAAGCGCCGCCACAACACGGUCUGCAUGGCACUGCCCGACGACACCUGCGAGGGGCACAAGCUCAGGAUCAACAAGGUGGCCCACUCCAACCUGCGCGUGCGCAUCGCCGACGUCGUGUCGGUGCACCUGUGCCACGACGCCAAGUUCGGCAGACGCGUGCACAUCCUCCCCUUGGACGACACCGUCGAGGGCAUCGCGGGGAACCUCUUCGACGCCUAUCUCAAGCCCUACUUCGUGGACGCCUACCGCCCGGUCCACAAGGGUGACCUCUUCCUCGUGCGUGGCGGCAUGCGGAGCGUCGAGUUCAAGGUCAUGAAGAUCGACCCCGCGGUGGACUACUGCGUCGUGGCACCCGAUACGGAGAUAUUCUGCGAGGGCGAGCUGGUCAAGCGGGAGGACGAGGAGAGGCUCGACGGCGUCGGCUACGACGACGUGGGUGGCAUGGGGAAACCGCUCACUCUGAUCAGGGAGCUCGUCGAGCUGCCGCUCAGGCAUCCGCAGAUCUUCAAGAGCAUUGGCGUCAAGCCUCCCAAGGGCAUCCUCCUCUAUGGCCCUUCCGGGUCGGGCAAGACGCUGAUCGCCCGCGCGGUCGCCAACGAGACCGGGGCCUUCUUCUUCCUCAUCAACGGCCCGGAGAUAAUGUCCAAGAUGGCCGGAGAGAGCGAGAGCAACCUGAGGAAGGCCUUCGAAGAAGCCGAGAAGAACGCGCCCUCCAUCAUAUUCAUCGAUGAGAUCGACUCCAUUGCUCCAAACAGGGAGAAGACUCACGGUGAGGUCGAGAGGUGCAUCGUCUCCCAGCUGCUGACGCUGAUGGAUGGCAUGAAGGCCCGCGCGCAUGUCAUCGUCAUGGGCGCCACGAAUCGCCCCAAUAGCAUCGACCCUGCCUUGAGGCGCUUCGGGAGGUUCGAUCGCGAGAUCGACAUCGGCGUGCCGGACGAGGUCGGGCGUCUCGAAGUGCUUCGCAUCCACACCAAAAACAUGAAGCUGGACGAGGACGUCAACCUGGAGGUGGUUGCCAAGGAUACGCACGGCUACGUCGGCGCCGACUUGGCCGCGCUCUGCACCGAGGCGGCGCUGCAGUGCAUCAGGGAGAAGAUGGACGUGAUCGACUUAGAGGAUGACACCAUCGACGCCGAGAUCUUGAACUCCAUGGCCGUCAUCAAUGACCACCUUAAGACGGCUCUCACCGGCACAAACCCGUCCGCGCUACGUGAGACCGUCGUGGAGGUGCCCAACGUCAGCUGGAACGAUAUUGGCGGCCUCGACGGCGUCAAGAGGGAGCUGCAAGAGACCGUUCAGUACCCGGUCGAGCACCCGAAGAAAUUCGAGAAGUUCGGUAUGUCGCCGUCCAAGGGCGUCCUCUUCUACGGGCCACCAGGAUGCGGCAAGACCUUGCUGGCGAAGGCGAUCGCCAACGAGUGCCAGGCCAACUUCAUCAGCAUCAAGGGGCCAGAGCUGCUCACCAUGUGGUUCGGUGAGAGCGAGGCCAAUGUGCGCGAGAUCUUUGACAAGGCGCGCCAGUCUGCGCCGUGUGUGCUGUUCUUUGACGAGCUCGACUCCAUCGCAACCCAAAGAGGCGGCAGAGUGGGCGACGCCGGUGGCGCGGCGGACAGGGUCCUGAACCAGCUACUCACCGAGAUGGACAGCAUGAACGCCAAGAAGACGGUCUUCAUCAUCGGCGCCACCAAUAGGCCGGACAUUAUUGACUCGGCAUUACUCCGUCCUGGCCGCCUGGACCAGCUCAUCUACAUCCCCUUGCCGGACGAGGCCUCGCGGCACCAGAUCUUCAAGGCCUGCCUCAGGAAGUCUCCCGUGGCCAAGGACGUCGACCUCGGUGCUCUCGCAAGGUUCACCGCUGGCUUUAGCGGUGCCGACAUCACGGAGAUCUGCCAGAGGGCGUGCAAGUACGCCAUCAGAGAAGACAUUGAAAAGGACAUGGAGAGGCAGAGGAUGGGCAAAGACACCAUGGAGGUGGACGGCGGGCAGGAAGAGGAGGAGGUGGCUGAGAUAAAGGCGCCUCACUUCGAGCAGUCGAUGAAGUACGCGAGGAGGAGCGUGAGCGACACCGACAUCAGGAAGUACCAGGCCUUCGCGCAGACGCUGCAGCAGUCUAGGGGGUUCGGUACGGAGUUCCACUUCCCGGCGCAGCCACAGGCAGCAGAAGCUGCUGCCGACACUACCGCGGCAUCUGAUGAGGAUGAAGACGAUCUGUACAAGUGA
Molecule: ribosomal RNA, 2370 nt
Filed under: Triticum aestivum (bread wheat)
Lineage: Eukaryota; Viridiplantae; Streptophyta; Magnoliopsida; Poales; Poaceae
Description: partial small subunit ribosomal RNA
Source: RNAcentral